AUGUGUAUAUGGCACGAGAGAGAGAGAGAGAGGGAGAAGGAGAAAACCUUCUCCUUCAACAACAACAAGAAAUUCAGCAAAUCAAAGAGGUUCUAGUCCUGAAAUUGAAUGCAUGUAUUGAGAUUCUUGAUCAUCUAAGUGUCUCUAACAUAAGGAGUGAAAAAGGAGGAAACGAGCCAUUCCGGAUCACAAACAAGGCAAGGCAAAGGUAAAAUAAAUCUUAAGUGGCAUGCUACGCACGGAACGAACACACUCCAAACCGCUCUCAAUAUGCUUCCGCACUUAACUUAUGCAAACGGGUCAAAACAUUUUGUUAUGCAAUUUAAAAUGUAUGUGUUAAAAAUUAAUCAAAGACUUAUAUUCUACAUCCUUUGUGAAUGUUGGAUGGUAUAUAACUGGAUAUGAACGGUUAACUUUAUGAGUAUGACCAAGUUUUCUUUAAAAAUGUGUAAAGUUCAAAUUUAGUCGUAAUUUUAUUGUUUUGGACAUUAGUUUUGACCGUUUUAAAGGAUGGCCGUUACAUAGAACAAUCAUCAGUUUGCUUACGUUGUUUCCGGAAGUUGUUACCGUACUUCAAUAUGUUAAAGAAGAUGGAGAUUGUAGUCAACAACGAACAAAUGCAAAAGAUGUACCUGGAUGAUUUUACUACAAAAGAAUUAGGGACUCUUUUGGGUGAUAUUGAGUCAUUUCGUUACACUACAAGCGAUGAUGAUAGAUUUGCUAACUUAAAUGGAAUAAGCGAUCUUGCUCGUCUUAUGGUGGAAACCGGAACACAUAGUUCUUGUCCUUUGGUUUAUCGGGUAGUGAAGCUAGCUUUGGUUUUACCGGUUGCAACCGCAACCGUUGAAAGAUGUUUUUCUAAAAUGAAGCUUGUCAAGACGGAUUUACGUAAUCGAAUGGCCCGGAAUAUUUGAACAAUGUUGUGGUUGUGCGAUCGAAAAAGAAACUUUUGAUAAAGUAAAAGAUGACGACGUGAUGGAACGAUUUCAAGCUAUGAGAAAAAGAAGAGGGCUAAUCUAUUAGGUAUUAUUUUUUUAUUAUUGUACUUACUAUCGUUUUUUAUUAUUGUAUGAAUACACCGUAAUUUUUUUUGGGAUACCCCUGGUUUUAAGGUCUAGCUCCGCCACUGGCUGGUGAUUGUUUGUUGUACCAAAUUCGACUGGGGUGAUUAGUAAUUUGAAUUCUUGAA
Long non-coding RNA from Helianthus annuus (common sunflower), 1189 nucleotides. RefSeq lists it as uncharacterized. The transcript is spliced from 4 exons. The record is from RefSeq and is a predicted model, not a curated record. Lineage: Eukaryota; Viridiplantae; Streptophyta; Magnoliopsida; Asterales; Asteraceae.